GUCUGGAUAGCUCAGAGGUUAGAGCAUAGAAUUGAAGAUUCUUGUGUCAUAGGUUCAAAUCCUAUUCUAGACA
RNAcentral lists this transfer RNA (73 nucleotides) under Calliarthron tuberculosum. Its description in RNAcentral is "tRNA-Phe". It matches the Rfam family "tRNA". From Rfam's summary of the family: Transfer RNA (tRNA) molecules are approximately 80 nucleotides in length. Their secondary structure includes four short double-helical elements and three loops (D, anti-codon, and T loops). The record is from RNAcentral. Lineage: Eukaryota; Rhodophyta; Florideophyceae; Corallinales; Corallinaceae.